GACGAACGCUGGCGGCGUGCCUAAUACAUGCAAGUCGAACGCUUCUUUCCUCCCGAGUGCUUGCACUCAAUUGGAAAGAGGAGUGGCGGACGGGUGAGUAACACGUGGGUAACCUACCCAUCAGAGGGGGAUAACACUUGGAAACAGGUGCUAAUACCGCAUAACAGUUUAUGCCGCAUGGCAUAAGAGUGAAAGGCGCUUUCGGGUGUCGCUGAUGGAUGGACCCGCGGUGCAUUAGCUAGUUGGUGAGGUAACGGCUCACCAAGGCCACGAUGCAUAGCCGACCUGAGAGGGUGAUCGGCCACACUGGGACUGAGACGCGGCCCAGACUCCUACGGGAGGCAGCAGUAGGGAAUCUUCGGCAAUGGACGAAAGUCUGACCGAGCAACGCCGCGUGAGUGAAGAAGGUUUUCGGAUCGUAAAACUCUGUUGUUAGAGAAGAACAAGGACGUUAGUAACUGAACGUCCCCUGACGGUAUCUAACCAGAAAGCCACGGCUAACUACGUG
Molecule: ribosomal RNA, 508 nt
Filed under: uncultured bacterium
Lineage: Bacteria
Description: partial 16S ribosomal RNA
Rfam family: Bacterial small subunit ribosomal RNA
Source: RNAcentral